CCUACGGGAGGCUGCAGUGGGGAAUAUUGCACAAUGGGGGAAACCCUGAUGCAGCGACGCCGCGUGAGCGAUGAAGUAUUUCGGUAUGUAAAGCUCUAUCAGCAGGGAAGAAAAUGACGGUACCUGACUACGAAGCCCCGGCUAACUACGUGCCAGCAGCCGCGGUAAUACGUAGGGGGCAAGCGUUAUCCGGAUUUACUGGGUGUAAAGUGUGCGUAGACGGCUGGGCAAGCCAGAGGUGAAAGCCCGGGGCUCAACCCCGGGACUGCAUUUGGAACUGUGUGGCUGGAGUGUCGGAGAGGCAGGCGGAAUUCCUAGUGUAGCAGUGAAAUGCGUAGAUAUUAGGAGGAACACCAGUGGCGAAGGCGGCCUGCUGGACGUUGACUGACGUUGAGGCACGAAGGCGUGGGGAGCAAACGGGAUUAGAUACCCUAGUAGUC
RNAcentral lists this ribosomal RNA (440 nucleotides) under uncultured bacterium. RNAcentral's name for it is "partial 16S ribosomal RNA". It matches the Rfam family "Bacterial small subunit ribosomal RNA", at positions 338 to 795 of the family's 1533-position model. The record is from RNAcentral.